UUAAAGUUCCAACGGUGAAAGAUGAGCAUGCGUCCCAUUAGCUAGAUGGUAAGUAACGGCUUACCAUGGCUACGAUGGUAGGGGUCCUGAGACGGAGAUCCCCCACACUGGUACUGAGACACGGACCCAGACUCCUACGGGAGGCAGCAGUGAGGAAUAUUGGUCAAUGGACGCAAGUCUGAACCAGCCAUGCCGCGUGCAGGAUGACGGUCCUAUGGAUUGUAAACUGCUUUUGUACGAGAAGAAACAACAUUACGUGUAAUGUCUUGACGGUAUCGUAAGAAUAAGGAUCGGCUAACUCCGUG
Molecule: ribosomal RNA, 305 nt
Filed under: uncultured bacterium
Lineage: Bacteria
Description: bacterial SSU rRNA
Rfam family: Bacterial small subunit ribosomal RNA
Source: RNAcentral